ACGACCUUACUUGAACAGGAUCUGUUCUAUAGGAUCGUACUACUGUGUUCUUGAUUUCUAAGGAGACAGGAACAUACGUCUGGUGGAUGAAUUAUGACUGUGUGAUUAGAGCGUGAUUAAUGGUGAGGAUGAUCUCUAAGUUAUAGGCAUCAUCUUUGACUGUAGAGGAUCGUUCUCGGCCAGUUCUACUGACCGGGAUGGUCACACGGUUGUCUGACAGACU
This is a small nucleolar RNA of Trifolium pratense (red clover), 223 nucleotides long. RefSeq annotates it as small nucleolar RNA U3. The transcript has a single exon. NCBI's taxonomy places the organism in Eukaryota, Viridiplantae, Streptophyta, Magnoliopsida, Fabales, Fabaceae. The record is from RefSeq and is a predicted model, not a curated record.